Molecule: small RNA, 4189 nt
Filed under: Rattus norvegicus (Norway rat)
Lineage: Eukaryota; Metazoa; Chordata; Mammalia; Rodentia; Muridae
Description: uncharacterized LOC102547266
Source: RNAcentral
AAUAAUUAACCAGCGCUUUGCUCUUUGGGGAUUACAUAGCUAACCGUCCAUAAUCCACAUGUGGUUGUUCUCUCUGCAAGUAAGUUCCAGCACGAUUUUGGAAACUGAGUAGAUUUUCUCCAUGAGCUCCUUGCUUACUCCUGGCUGAGUUCCCACCCGCCCCCAAUCUUGUGUGUGUUUAUAAAAAUGUAGACAACUUAAUAUGAAGCCAUGUAUUAAGUUAGUAGGGAGGGAGCUGUGCACUCACAAUCCAGAUGCAUUAAAAAAGCUAAACACAGGAGACAUGUGGAUCCUCUAACCUGCAGUUCCUUCCCAACUCAGAAACUACUUCACUAAGAGGUAAGCAUUUUAAUUUAUCUCGUUGGUGGAGAAACAGAGUAAGCUGUCGUGUGGUUUUGUAAUCUUUAAUCGAUAUAAUUCUUAAACCAUGCCUUUGUAUGAACACCAAUAUUAACUUUCAUCCAACAGCCUUUCCUGACAGCUAAAAUAUUUGCUGUCACUGGUUCAGCUCUGAAUUCUCAGAUCAGCCACGGCUGAUCCCCAGUGCCUUGCCCCAGCCCCAGGACAGGCGCACCAGUAGAGCUGUGGCUGGCUGGUGAGGUAUCAACCACCCCAGGAGUCUGAAUCCUGGAGAUGAAUGGAGAAGUGGCAAGGUUAGAGCCCCAGAAGAAGGUUGGGAUAUAAAUACAAGGAAAUGCUUAAAAUGCAGUGGUGGAAAUCUGAAAACAUGGGUCUUGGGUUAUCACUGGGAAAAGUAAAGCAUAAUAAAUCCAGGCCAAAUUAAAAGUAAGGGAUUUCUAAAUUAAAAACAGUGCAUGUUACGAAAGGCCCGGGCAUGCACGUUUUUAAGGAAAAACAACAGUAUUAAGCAUUCCUGAUAUUUGUUGAGGCAGAAAAAAAUAUUUCAGGUCAAGGGAAGCCCAAAAGCAAAAGGGGCAAGACUGUAUCAGCAUCUUCCCAGCCUGUUAGGAAGGACGAGGGGGAUGGUGCUGUGGUAUUCUUCCUUGCUAAUGGUAGCUAUCAGUGGGAUAAAGUACAGGAACCGUGAAAGCAACUAUUUAAAAUGUAUGAAUCAAUGUGCUAUUAUACUCAGGGUCUUAGUAUGCUUUUUGUCACGAUAAUGAAAUACCUGAGGAGAUUAACUGAUAAAGAGAAAUGUGAAUUUUGGCUCAUGGCUCUCUAGCUGAUGAGGGAUCCUCACGCUACGGAAUUCUGAAGAGGGCAUCACAUGAAGGUGGUGUGGGGAAGACACCUACACCAUAAGCCAGAAAGCAAAGAGAAACAUGAGCAGGGUCCUCGUGAUCCCAUUCAGGGGCAUCACCCGGUGGUUCUCUUACAAAGUCACACACACCUCCCCUGGUCUCCACACCUCCCAGCAGCUCCACCCUGGGAACUAAGUUUUAGAAAUUCUGGCAGGAAAUCUGAUCCAAACCGUGAGACCUGGGUCACAAUUUCAGGCCGUUUUCAUCAUUUUUACUAGAAAGCCUAGACCUUUUAGCGAGGACCCUCCUCACAGCUAGCCAGUCUUCACACAUCCCUGCACAGUCCCUAAGCUACUGCCUGGCUAUAGGUUUCCUAUUGUAGAGAUUUCAUUAUAAUGGAAUCAAACCAUCUGUCAUAUCCUGAACUGCUUUGCCUUCCUUGUCACAAUGUCCUCAAGCCUCAACCACAGGUGGCGAGUAUCAGUAUGCCACGUUUUAUAUUGCCUUUAACCCUUCUAAGAAUGGCGUAGGCGUACGCACUGAAAGUGUGAAAAAUCAAAGAAUCGUCACAGGAACACGAUGAUAUAUACACGCCGGGCAUUGAAACAAUUCGGAUACAAGCCACACAAUCACGUGGAGGAAAAGGGAGCUUAUUCACAAGCAGUCUUUCGGUUUUCAGAUCAAGCAAAAUGAAAGGACGUGAAAAGAAUGCGUCUGGAGUAAAGAAUACGUGCGUGUCCCUGUGGCUGUCCCCAAGCAUAUGUGACAAGAGAUGCAGGGUUAGAGCAACUGUCUUGUUGGCUACCAGCAAACGAGCAAGCAGGAGCCAACGAAAUCAGACAGCCAGCAGGUGCGCUAGGAGUCCUCACCGCAGGGCUGAGACUCUGCCAAUCAACCUGUGCCUCCCAUUGCCAGCGACUAGGGCGUGGCUACAAUCCUUUCGCUGAAAAUGAGCGUUCGUAAGCGAUGAUAAAUAGCCUUAUAUGUGCGCAUCUGGAUGCCGGGUCCUAACACACGGGGAGGGUGUACCACCCAGAAAUAACUCCAAAGUGAAAAUAGAAGGCAGAGACGCAAAGUGAACUCAAAGCUUUGUUUAUCAACAGGAAAGGCGUGGCUGUGACGGGGAGAUGGCGUGCGUGAGGCUGAAUCGAGAUUCCCGAGCAGGCACGCCUGUGUCGGUAAAGGACACCUGACCGUGUUCUUGAAUUCCGCCACUGUAAUCACUUUCAUGGUCAUCUCUUGAUGGACGUCUAGGCUGGCUCCGUUCCCUGGCCAUCCUGAAUAUAUGCAGCAAUAAAGAAGGCUACAUGUUUAAUCAUAAACACUGAGCAAGCAUGGCGGCGGUGUGCUGAAUUAUGGUCCUUCAGAUAUCCGAGUCAUCUUAUUCUUAUUGAAAGAAUACCUGUCUUGCCCAGUAGCACUGGGGCAGAGUGACCUUGGCUGUCCCCACUGUGACUCCAGCAGCUAACACAUGUAUGUACCAGAUGAAUUUGCUGACUGAAGCGGCGAGGAGGAUUUCCGUGAAGUUUUCUUGCUUACAAAGCCUUCCGGUGAUACGUUUGGUCCCCAGCCAGUGGUGCUGUUCUGAAAGGCUGUGGAACCUUCGCUAGGAGGUCACAACAGGAAGCGAAUGAUUGUGGCAACUCCAGGCUGCUGCCUCAGAGACUUGUGAUUAACGUGGCCCUACCGUGGUAAGACCACAGACACCCAAACUGUGGCCUUCUCACAGACUCUAGACAAGAGAAUCCCAGCCAGGAUUCCUGACCCACAGAAACCGUAAGAAAAUAUGUGCUUGUUUUACUCCACUAAGUUGGGGGUAAUUUUUUACACAGCAGUAGAUAACCAACACAGCAACCAUUUGUCACCCUUGCCCCACACUGUGAAAUGUUUUGCCAUCUAUUCGAUAGCCCCAUCAGGACCCAGGAUUAUCCCUCACUCCACCUCUGGGCUGCAGGAGAUGCCUCUGGAUUCAUCUCUCCUGCCCCACUGUUGUUUUUAUGGCUCAAUCCCUCAAGUUGUCACAACUGGACUUUAGCAGCCGACUCCUAAUUCCUCUGCGUUCUGCCGUACUCGCCUCCAAUUCAUCUCUUCACACUGAAACCAGACACACGUCCUCCGCUCUGUCCAGGAGAGCAUCCCCACCUUGGGGAUGGGGUGGGGGGAGGCUCUUUUUUUUUCCCCCCGGAGCUGGGGACCGAACCCAGGGCCUUGCAGUUGCUAGGCAAGCGCUCUACCACUGAGUUAAAUCCCCAACCCCACAUCCCCACCUUUAACCUCCCUUCUGAAGCCCUCUGGGAGUACCCAGCUAGCCUCACAUUCCAGCCGCACCCCUCUGCCUGGUCCAGAAACCUCAAACUCCCUACUCAUGCUAAGCGUGCCAUGCUAGCAUUUUUCUGUGCAUCCUGGGCCCUGCCUACACUAAAACAUCCUUCUGUCCCUACAGGAGGAUGGUAACAAGUACCUCAUCUUUCCAGAGCCACCUGUGCCGUGAAUCCAUUAAUAAGUCAUGUCCUAGGUACUUAGCCACUGCUUCCCAGCGGCUGGCACCGCAGCUCUUCUGCUUAUGCAAGCUCUCUGCCUUUCCCCUCUCACCCAGCAGAAUCCUUCUGCAGGGAAGGCACAGAGAUCGGCUCAGUGCCUCCACCCGGCAUUGUACCCAAAGGUGUAUGGGGUGGGGGUACAAACAACAACACAAAGUUAUGCCAGCAUUUUCCUCAAAGUCACCCUCUAGCCAUUCUGCCACUUGGAACAGAAGCCUCUCCACUGUCCCCCAUCCUUCAAGCUACAGCUUAAAUGGCACUCCUUGGAGGUUGUUUCCAGCCCCCAAGAUAGCCAUGCUACCCUUUGGUAAGACAGAGUAUGGCGGUCAUUACAUGACAGUCUAGUGGCUAGAUUAUAUUCUAGCUCAUUUCAUUCCUAUUACUCAGCCUUGCUUAUUGUACUGGCUGGUUUUGUGUAUCAACUUGACACCAGCUGGAGUUGUCAUG